This 571-nucleotide ribosomal RNA is filed under the name uncultured bacterium. Its description in RNAcentral is "partial 16S ribosomal RNA". It matches the Rfam family "Bacterial small subunit ribosomal RNA", at positions 355 to 919 of the family's 1533-position model. The record is from RNAcentral.
UGGGGAAUUUUGGACAAUGGGCGAAAGCCUGAUCCAGCAAUGCCGCGUGUGUGAAGAAGGCCUUCGGGUUGUAAAGCACUUUUGUCCGGAAAGAAAUCCUUGGCUCUAAUACAGUCGGGGGAUGACGGUACCGGAAGAAUAAGCACCGGCUAACUGCGUGCCAGCAGCCGCGGUAAUACGUAGGGUGCAAGCGUUAAUCGGAAUUACUGGGCGUAAAGCGUGCGCAGGCGGUUUGCUAAGACCGAUGUGAAAUCCCCGGGCUCAACCUGGGAACUGCAUUGGUGACUGGCAGGCUAGAGUAUGGCAGAGGGGGGUAGAAUUCCACGUGUAGCAGUGAAAUGCGUAGAGAUGUGGAGGAAUACCGAUGGCGAAGGCAGCCCCCUGGGCCAAUACUGACGCUCAUGCACGAAAGCGUGGGGAGCAAACAGGAUUAGAUACCCUGGUAGUCCACGCCCUAAACGAUGUCAACUAGUUGUUGGGGAUUCAUUUCCUUAGUAACGUAGCUAACGCGUGAAGUUGACCGCCUGGGGAGUACGGUCGCAAGAUUAAAACUCAAAUGAAUUGACGGGGU